GAUGAACGCUGGCGGCGUGCCUAAUACGUGCAAGUCGAGCGAACGGACGAGAAGCUUGCUUCUCUGAUGUUAGCGGCGGACGGGUGAGUAACACGUGGAUAACCUACCUAUAAGACUGGGAUAACUUCGGGAAACCGGAGCUAAUACCGGAUAAUAUUUUGAACCGCAUGGUUCAAAAGUGAAAGACGGUCUUGCUGUCACUUAUAGAUGGAUCCGCGCUGCAUUAGCUAGUUGGUAAGGUAACGGCUUACCAAGGCAACGAUGCAUAGCCGACCUGAGAGGGUGAUCGGCCACACUGGAACUGAGACACGGUCCAGACUCCUACGGGAGGCAGCAGUAGGGAAUCUUCCGCAAUGGGCGAAAGCCUGACGGAGCAACGCCGCGUGAGUGAUGAAGGUCUUCGGAUCGUAAAACUCUGUUAUUAGGGAAGAACAUAUGUGUAAGUAACUGUGCACAUCUUGACGGUACCUAAUCAGAAAGCCACGGCUAACUACGUGCCAGCAGCCGCGGUAAUACGUAGGUGGCAAGCGUUAUCCGGAAUUAUUGGGCGUAAAGCACGCGUAGGCGGUUUUUUAAGUCUGAUGUGAAAGCCCACGGCUCAACCGUGGAGGGUCAUUGGAAACUGGAAAACUUGAGUGCAGAAGAGGAAAGUGGAAUUCCAUGUGUAGCGGUGAAAUGCGCAGAGAUAUGGAGGAACACCAGUGGCGAAGGCGACUUUCUGGUCUAUAACUGACGCUGAUGUGCGAAAGCGUGGGGAUCAAACAGGAUUAGAUACCCUGGUAGUCCACGCCGUAAACGAUGAGUGCUAAGUGUUAGGGGGUUUCCGCCCCUUAGUGCUGCAGCUAACGCAUUAAGCACUCCGCCUGGGGAGUACGACCGCAAGGUUGAAACUCAAAGGAAUUGACGGGGACCCGCACAAGCGGUGGAGCAUGUGGUUUAAUUCGAAGCAACGCGAAGAACCUUACCAAAUCUUGACAUCCUUUGACAACUCUAGAGAUAGAGCCUUCCCCUUCGGGGGACAAAGUGACAGGUGGUGCAUGGUUGUCGUCAGCUCGUGUCGUGAGAUGUUGGGUUAAGUCCCGCAACGAGCGCAACCCUUAAGCUUAGUUGCCAUCAUUAAGUUGGGCACUCUAAGUUGACUGCCGGUGACAAACCGGAGGAAGGUGGGGAUGACGUCAAAUCAUCAUGCCCCUUAUGAUUUGGGCUACACACGUGCUACAAUGGACAAUACAAAGGGCAGCGAAACCGCGAGGUCAAGCAAAUCCCAUAAAGUUGUUCUCAGUUCGGAUUGUAGUCUGCAACUCGACUACAUGAAGCUGGAAUCGCUAGUAAUCGUAGAUCAGCAUGCUACGGUGAAUACGUUCCCGGGUCU
This 1372-nucleotide ribosomal RNA is filed under the name uncultured bacterium. RNAcentral describes it as "bacterial SSU rRNA". It matches the Rfam family "Bacterial small subunit ribosomal RNA", at positions 28 to 1381 of the family's 1533-position model. The record is from RNAcentral.